Non-coding RNA from Ictidomys tridecemlineatus (thirteen-lined ground squirrel), 72 nucleotides. Lineage: Eukaryota; Metazoa; Chordata; Mammalia; Rodentia; Sciuridae. The record is from Rfam.
UGGGAUGUAGCUCAGUGAUAGAGUGCUUGCCUAGCAUGCAUGAGGUCCUGGGUUUGAUGCCCAGCACCACAA